Oreochromis aureus is the source of this 3466-nucleotide long non-coding RNA. Lineage: Eukaryota; Metazoa; Chordata; Actinopteri; Cichliformes; Cichlidae. The record is from Ensembl.
AUUUCCUUUCCGAUCUCACCACACCCAAGUAGUAACAGGAAAGAAACCUGAACACUCAGCUGUUCUCGCUGUUCCAUGCCCAACACUACCUUUAGUUCUCCGUUGUAUUUCGGGUUUACUGAAGGCAUUUAAAUGACCAAGGCGAGCGCGUGUAACAACUGGGUCCCUUCACGGACGACGGCGGGAGAUUAAUGGAGAGUCCAGAGAAACAUCAGAGCUGUGUCUGGACAGAAGAAUGUCACUCUUCAAUGCCGAGCUCCAAACAACGGACAUCCUCACACGACCGUAGAGUGGAGCAGACCUGACCUUGGGGAUCAAUAUGUGCUUUUGUACCGGGACGGGCACUUUAACUCACACAACCAGCAUCCAUCAUUUGUGAACCGGGUGGAUCUGCAGGACAGACAGAUGAAGGAUGGAGACGUCUCUCUGAUUCUGAAGAAUGUGACAAUUAAUGAUGCUGGAACAUACGAGUGUCGUGUCAAGACAGAAACACACUGCAGAAAGAGAGCUAAUCUCAGUGUUGACCCCAUCAUCAUCAUCAGCCUGAGUGUUGAUCCUUCAGGUCAGACAGGAGGAGACACAGAGGAUGGAGGGAAGGAGGGUGGAGUCACUAGAGGACGUUCUGGUCUGUCAGUUUUUGCUGUGAUUUGUGUUCUUAUAGCUGCUUUUGUGAUCUCUGGAAAAUUGAAGAACAUAAAUUCCCCACUUCCUCCUCCUGAACAACAGCAAGUCUAAAAAAAGAAGAAGCUCUUCACUUUUUUUAUUUCUUUGUCUUCAGACAAACCAGUUUACUGUAACAGUACAGACAUGUUUUGGCAUUCCUUCAGAAUCAGCUAUAAAUAUGAGUAAAACAAAGCGAUUCAUUAUUGCUACAUACGUGGCCCUUAUACAGGACAUCAGUCUUAGUCAUCUGUCUCUGAAAUUUGCUCUGACUAAAUGAAGAUGUGAAUUCUGUCAGAUUCUAUUACUGUGUAAUCUCAGAGUUUAAACUGUGGUCCAGAAGUGUCUGAUGUGGUUGUGGAGCACUCUGAUGAUCAUGUUACAUCAUUUAUUUAUUUAUGUAUUUAUUUAUUUAUUUUUCUUUCUUUGCUGUUGUCAAGUGUUUAAUGUUAAAGGUGAAAUUAUUCUUCCUCUGCUGCACCUAUCUCCUGCGGUGUGCCUCAAGGAUCUGUCCUUGGUCCCCUGCUCUUCUCACUGUAUAUGCUUCCCUUAGGCACAAUCUUUGAGAAGUACAACAUUGCACAUCAUUGUUAUGCUGAUGACAUACAGAUCUAUUUUGAAUUAACUGAUGAUCGUUCCAUGUCUUUGCACUGUUUUCAUAAGUGUAUGCGUGAGGUCAAAGAUUGGCUCUCUGGUAACUCCCUUAGCUUAAAUGUCAGGAAAACCGAAAUCAUCGUGUUUGACAGUAAUAUUCCUUGCAGCCAGUAAUAUCCCAAGCAUUGGCUUCCCGUUAAGUACCGUAUUUAUUUCAAAAUUUCAUCUCCGAGGAAGUUAUCCCAGAGAGAAGUAAAGCAAGUGUGUAAGUUCAUCUCUGAAUGUUUGUAAAGCGUUCCCGCGUUAAGCUUAACAACCGAUAUAUGGAGCGAGUGCCUCUCUCUCUCCCUCCCUCUCCUGUCGCUACUUCAAUGUGAAACUGAUCAACGAUCAGCUGAUCGGAUUUUCUGUCGCGAGUCCGUCUCUCUUCUUUGUUUUUGGCCCACUUUGCACCAGAAAGAGGAAACCAGCGGCUGAACAACAGCAGCACGUUUAAGCUUGAUAAGCUGUUAGAAUUUAUUUAAUAUUACUUUCUAGACCAGGAUCCUUUUCUACGUAGCUGACGGCUGGUAACUGUGCAGGGGCGGAUCUAGCAAAGUUUAGCCAGGGGGGCCGAUAGGGCAUUAACAGGGAAAAGGGGCACAAAGACAUACUUUUCUUUCUUAUUCUCAUUUAAAAUGUCUAGCUUUUAAUAAAUAAUUAUCUGAAUCUUACACCCAAAGUUUUAAUCUGGUGUAAAAUGUAUAGAAGUCCAUUACUGUAUAACUGUUAAGUCUAAUAUACCCUAGUAAGCUAUAGUACUUUUUCCUUUGGGAAGGUACCAUCUGUGAAUUCUGCAAUUCUGUUGAAGAAAGAUGUUGAAUCUAUUUAAUUAUUCUUGAAAAAUAAUUUAUUUCUGUGCAUUUUUUUUUCACCCUGCAUCAAAUUAAAGUUGAUUACAUCGAUUAAGCAUCAUGAGGUGGAGGGUGGGGGGUGGUUCCCUAUUUUUUUUUGCUGGGAGUUUGCAACCCUAUUAGUUAGGUUGCUUAAUAUUUCUGCUAAGUACUCUUUAAAAUACCAGAAUAGGAAGGAUGGAGUAGGUUUAAGUUUAUUAGAUUGAUCAGUGUUGCUGAACUAUGAAAUACUUUGGGCGCAGUGUAUUUUUUACAUACAGGUAUAACAGAAUAGCUUUAGUGUUGCUGUUUAUUUAAACUUCAGUAUGAACUUAUACAAAAUGCAGCAAGAUAUUAAAAAAACAGUUUUCUUGAUUAAAAAACACUAUAUCGGAUUCAUAUCGGUAUCGGCAGAUAUCCAAAUUUAUGAUAUCGGUAUCGGACAUAAAAAAGUGGUAUCGUGCCAUCUCUAGUAAUAAGAUCAUCUUCCCAGUCACUUCUGGUACAGCUGAGAUCCCGACUGAAGACUAGAGGGCGUGUUUGCCUUGGCUGCACCCGAUUUGUGGAAUAGCCUCCCCAUUACUAUCCAUGACUCUGAUUCCCUUCAAUCCUUCAAAUUGCAGUUAAAAACCUAUUUAUUUAACCUUAACGGCAUCAACCUGCGAGCAUGUUUGGUACUUUUCCAUGGGCUUCAUCUGUCUCUAUUAUUAUAUCUGACCUCCUUGUAUGAUCAGCACUUUGGCAUACCACUGGUUUUGAAAUGUGAUAUAUAAAUAAAGUUUGUUGUUGUUAUUUUCUGUACUAACAGGCUAUAAAACUAAAUGAUCUGUUACUUUAAGUGGAAUUUUGACUUUAAUGCCAUGAGUCACCGCCCAUGUUGUGUUUAUGUGUUUCUUUGUAUUUUUAGAUUCUCAGAUUAUUUUUUUAUAUAUGUGGAAUAUACCGAAGACUUUUCAAUGGAACAAGACGAGCAGAUGAAACAUCUGCUUCCCACCAGGGAUUAUGGACAGAGAUUAAGUCCCAACCCGACCGAUAGCACGUCCUCUUUGGAACCAAGAUAGUGAUAGAAAUUUUGAGGUGUAGGAUGUAAGAGGUUAAGCCACGCAAGGUGAGUGCAUCCCACACUGGAGCGUCCAGUGUGCUGUGACGUGCUGUGCUGCUGUACCAGUGCAGCUCCAUGUCCAAGUCGAAUUUUAUGCUUCAUCGACCGAUCUAAUGCAAAGGAAAUAUGGCUAUGACGCCCUUGCUCCCCACUGCACUCCUUUGACCUGUGGUUUCAGUUCCUGGUUUGGUUUCUGCGUUUAAAGGUAAGUUGGCAUCAUUUGUUAAGUUGUUCCGCC